GCCGCGGUAGCUCAGCUGGGAGAGCGUAAGACUGAAGAUCUUAAGGCCGCCGGUUCGAUCCCGGCCCGCGGCA
Molecule: transfer RNA, 73 nt
Filed under: Methanobacteriota archaeon
Lineage: Archaea; Methanobacteriati; Methanobacteriota
Description: Euryarchaeota archaeon (hot springs metagenome) tRNA-Phe
Rfam family: tRNA
About the family: Transfer RNA (tRNA) molecules are approximately 80 nucleotides in length.
Source: RNAcentral